Molecule: long non-coding RNA, 2480 nt
Filed under: Gossypium barbadense (sea-island cotton)
Lineage: Eukaryota; Viridiplantae; Streptophyta; Magnoliopsida; Malvales; Malvaceae
Description: long non-coding RNA (GBAR_LNC019029)
Source: RNAcentral
AAACUUGAUGUUAACUAAUGCAACGGAAAAAAAAAACAUUACUCAUGUCAUUUUGGAAAUCUAGUCGCCUUGUUGAUUUGCUCUUUUUUUUUUCAAAAAUAGUUUUUUUACAAUGCAGUGGAUGUUAGGUAACAAUGUUAAAUUUUACUUAAGCCAGAUAUCAUGCAUUUUUUGGUUAUUAUGUUUAAGUAAUCCAAGCAUGCAAAAAUUCCCAAAUGAAAAGUUACCAACCCACAGACUAGAAAUAAUUAAAAAUUGCAAACUAAAACAAAUAGAGACUUAUUAAUAAUACUUAUUAAAAAAGGUCCAAGGCCCAAGGUGAUACUCUGUAUGUUGGGUCCGGUCCUAGUUUCAAGGUUUACCUAAAAAGUUAAACACUAUGGGGGAGUGAGCUUAUGAAAGCUCAAUGUGAGUCGAACAAUUUUUUAAACAAACAUAAAUAUCAAAUACAGUGAGAUAUCUUAACAUUAAUAGAAGAACACAAAACAAUCAUUGGAAUUUCAUAUCAUUACAUAGCUAUUAAAAAAUUGAUGUCAAACGGUGUAGGAGCAUGGGGUGAUGCAGAUGAUGCAAUGUAAAAGUUCCUACCCAAACCAUCUGAGUGUUACACACCACAAGUUCCCCAAAACCUAUCUACCAAAAUCCAACGAGUGUGAGUAAAGCUCGAUGUAGUAAAACCAUUGAAUGAAUAUAAUUGCAAAAAAUCUACCAAAUAACGAAUAAAUGCGAUAAAAUUGCCAAAUCCCCUCGAAUCUUUGGUGCAGCGCACUGACUACGAAUAAAUACAAACUUAAUAUGCCGCCAAAUCUCUAUGGAACUCCUCCGUCAACCACAAUAAUAACCCACCCCAAUGCACAUGCAAUAUGCCAUACAAUCUCAUACAUAGUCAUAAAUAAAUACUUUCACAAUUUAUUGGCAUGUACAAUAUGUCCUUGAAUUAUCAAAUACUUUUAGUGAAUAGGACCAUUGAUCCAACUUUCAAUUUACCAUCAACGUGGUAUCAUUUAACAAAUCACAAUUUCAUGUAGCAAUCUUUCAAACAUUACAUAACAAAUUACUCAUGCCAAUCUAUCAUGCAUAAGCCUUAUUUUCAUUGAAAAUAAUGAUAUACAAACAACCAAUCAUACAUCACAUUAACUAACCAUUCAUAACAAUAUCAACCAUGCAAUCAUUUAAUCAAUUUAGCAACUUUGCUAACAUGCCAAAUAAUUAGGCUUGAAACAUGCCAAAUAAUUAGGCUUGAAACAUACCUGGUUCGACCACUUACAAGUUUAAUUACUUAGAUACUUAGCCAAGACCAAUUACCAAAAUAAAUCAUCAAUUAUAUCAAUAACUUCAUCAUUAUCAAUCAAGUAAUUGAGUUGGGACCCACACCUUAUUUUACGCUCUUUCACAGCACACUUGUAAAUAUUGUGGUUUCUCUAAUAAGCUUUAAAAUUAAUCUAAAUUAAGAAUCAGUAUUAAACUCAAUUAAUAUGCCUAUUAAACAUCCCAUAAACACCCACUUAUGGAUUCAAUCCAAUCAGUACAAUUAUAACUAUUUUUUGAAUCCAAACUAGUUAGAUUUCUUACAUUGAAUUGAUAUGAACCGUACACGCGAACGUCUUUUGGCUUCAUUGUUGAUUUGGGGCAUUUAAGUCGACACCUAGCACAUUUAAAAAUUGUAAAUUGUUAUUUAAUCAAUUAACAAUAUUUAUCGAAUAUCUAAACUGAAACUAUAAACUAGUUUACAAUCAACCACACAUACGCUUCCCGAAUUGUCAUAUCUGAAUUGCCGAUUGAUCAAGAUUAAAUUUCCCUAAUUAAAACAUAAUUAAAUGCUAAUUGGAGGGGGUUCAAGAUCCCAAAAUAAUGCUGGAAAAAAAUGGGAAGAAAUUAAAGGAGAACAACCCCUUUUCUUGCCUAUAGGCAUAUGUAUCACCACCAAUGAUGGCCAAAUUAGGGCUGAGUUGAAAUCAAUUUUAAGAUCACUUAGGAGGCUGGAAAAAAUACCCACUAAAUAUUAAAAAAAAACUGAAAUUCCAGAUCUGAAAAUUUGGGUUUUGAACCCUCAAGAUUUAUCAAGAAAUUGAGAAAUAAGGAGAACUUACACAAACUAGUUGAUAGGGGCGGCAAUGACACUUCUUAGAAACAAGGAGAAUCAUUCUUGGAGAUCCAAAAUUUCAGAUUUGGGGCUAGAAAAUUAAGGGGAAAAUGGCAUUAAGAUGGAGGGGGAGAUGGUGCAAGAUCUUUUGAAAAAAGAAAAGAAAAGAAAAGAAAAAGAAAAAGAUGGUAGAUCAAGAACUGUGGGUGGCAGCCAUAAAUAAGAAAUGAAAAAAAUUAAAAGAGAAGAGGAGAGGAGAGGGACGGCUAGGGUGGGGGAAAUUGGACUAAAGGCUGAUUAUUUUGUCUAAAAAUAAUAUUUGUACUUAGGUCUAAAAGGUAUGGACGACACACACAUUAAAAAUACAAGGGAUUUUUGCAAGGGAAAAGAUUCAAAC